AGAGUUUGAUUCUGGCUCAGGAUGAACGCUAGCUACAGGCUUAACACAUGCAAGUCGAGGGGCAGCAUGAUUGAAGCUUGCUUCAAUUGAUGGCGACCGGCGCACGGGUGAGUAACACGUAUCCAACCUUCCGUACACUCAGGGAUAGCCUUUCGAAAGAAAGAUUAAUACCUGAUGGUAUCUUAAGCACACAUGUAAUUAAGAUUAAAGAUUUAUCGGUGUACGAUGGGGAUGCGUUCCAUUAGGUAGUAGGCGGGGUAACGGCCCACCUAGCCUACGAUGGAUAGGGGUUCUGAGAGGAAGGUCCCCCACAUUGGAACUGAGACACGGUCCAAACUCCUACGGGAGGCAGCAGUGAGGAAUAUUGGUCAAUGGACGAGAGUCUGAACCAGCCAAGUAGCGUGAAGGAUGAAGGUCCUACGGAUUGUAAACUUCUUUUAUAAGGGAAUAAAACCUCCCACGUGUGGGAGCUUGUAUGUACCUUAUGAAUAAGCAUCGGCUAACUCCGUGCCAGCAGCCGCGGUAAUACGGAGGAUGCGAGCGUUAUCCGGAUUUAUUGGGUUUAAAGGGAGCGCAGACGGGUCGUUAAGUCAGCUGUGAAAGUUUGGGGCUCAACCUUAAAAUUGCAGUUGAUACUGGCGUCCUUGAGUGCGGUUGAGGUGUGCGGAAUUCGUGGUGUAGCGGUGAAAUGCUUAGAUAUCACGAAGAACUCCGAUUGCGAAGGCAGCACACUAAGCCGUAACUGACGUUCAUGCUCGAAAGUGUGGGUAUCAAACAGGAUUAGAUACCCUGGUAGUCCACACGGUAAACG
This 811-nucleotide ribosomal RNA is filed under the name uncultured bacterium. Its description in RNAcentral is "bacterial SSU rRNA". It matches the Rfam family "Bacterial small subunit ribosomal RNA", at positions 8 to 808 of the family's 1533-position model. The record is from RNAcentral.